GUAGGGUGCAAGCGUUAAUCGGAAUUACUGGGCGUAAAGCGUGCGCAGGCGGUUCGUGAUGUCUGGUGUGAAAGCCCCGGGCUUAACCUGGGAAUUGCAUUGGAAACUAGCGGGCUGGAGUGUGGCAGAGGGGGGUGGAAUUCCACGUGUAGCAGUGAAAUGCGUAGAGAUGUGGAGAAACACCGAUGGCGAAGGCAGCCCCCUGGGCUAACACUGACGCUCAUGCACGAAAGCGUGGGGAGCAAACAGGAUUAGAUACCCUGGUAGUCCACGCCCUAAACGAUGGCAACUGGGUGUUGGGGAAGCGAUUUCUCAGUACCGUAGCUAACGCGUGAAGUUGCCCGCCUGGGGAGUACGGCCGCAAGGUUA
RNAcentral lists this ribosomal RNA (369 nucleotides) under uncultured bacterium. RNAcentral's name for it is "bacterial SSU rRNA". It matches the Rfam family "Bacterial small subunit ribosomal RNA", at positions 527 to 896 of the family's 1533-position model. The record is from RNAcentral.